This 253-nucleotide ribosomal RNA is filed under the name uncultured bacterium. RNAcentral's name for it is "partial 16S ribosomal RNA". It matches the Rfam family "Bacterial small subunit ribosomal RNA", at positions 524 to 776 of the family's 1533-position model. The record is from RNAcentral.
GCCGAACCGUACGAACGUUAUUCGGAAUCACUGGGCUUAAAGGGUGCGUAGGCUGCGCAGCAAGUUGGGUGUGAAAUCCCUCGGCUUAACCGAGGAACUGCGCCCAAAACUGCUGUGCUCGAGGGAGACAGAGGUGGGCGGAACUUAGGGUGGAGCGGUGAAAUGCGUUGAUAUCCUAAGGAACACCGGUGGCGAAAGCGGCUCACUGGGUCUCUUCUGACGCUGAGGCACGAAAGCUAGGGGAGCGAACGGG